Rattus norvegicus (Norway rat) is the source of this 1124-nucleotide long non-coding RNA. RefSeq lists it as uncharacterized. The record is from RefSeq and is a predicted model, not a curated record. NCBI's taxonomy places the organism in Eukaryota, Metazoa, Chordata, Mammalia, Rodentia, Muridae.
ACAUUCCACCCGUUGCUGCCAGCGUUCAGUUUUCACAGGGGCACUGCGCAGAACAAACUGCUUCUGUCCCUGCUUUCCUUUCACUGUGGGGCUGCCGCAGCGCAUCCAUUCGUCCCCUCUAGUUGUCGGCUACGUAAGGACACCAGCUACUCCUGUAGCGGGUGGGUUUGCCUAUUCGGAUUUGCCACGAAUCCGUACAAAGCAAAUGCCUUUAUAAAUGCAGCAGAAGUCCAAAAUAUAGAAUGGGGGAACCAUACACGGGAGAAAUGAGAUCACGCUAAUGCAAGACUGUAGAGGUCAAUGAAAGAAAUCAUCGUUACUUAUCAAAAUCAAACAGGAGCGGCAACCUGAGAUUUCUGCCUCUUACGUGUCUUCUGUGAGGAAGCACGCUGUGUAUUUUGUUUCUAUAAAGAGAUCCGGAGAGGACUGUUCUAAAAGCUGGAUACAGUAAGCUGCUGAAAGGGCCCAGAUGUUUGUUUAGGCUUCUCUGGUCUCCCGGGAGCUGGCUCUGAUUUCAACUGGAGAGCAUACAGUGUCCUUGGCUACUGGCCUCUGUUUGCCUCACAUGGAGAGAAGCCUGGAUCAAGGGCCACUUGAUGACCGUCCCUAUGGCUGAAGCAUGGGGGGAGUGCCCAAAUGCCUCUGUCUGGGUCUGACAUUCAGGUCUAUAAUAUCAGCGUCUGAACGGAGACCCAGCAACAGUGAAUGAGAAUGAUGCUUGGGCCAGCCGGGCAUCCCAUUGAGAGAUACCUUAACUUGAAGGAAGCAACUCCCCUCAAACCAGUGCCAUUGGCAGCAAAAAGUAGACUGCACUGAAGGACUAGAAGAAAAUCUUAGAGUGGGCUAUGGUGGAACAGCACCCAGGAGGUUAAGGAGGCAGGAUUGCCACAACCCCAAGGACAGCCUGAGCUACAGAGCAAAGAAAGAAAAACAAGUCAAUAGAAACCAGACGCUGGAAAAGACAUGGAGAAUUUGGAUUUCAGACGUACUGUUGGUGGACAUGUCAAGUAGUCUCAGCCAUUCCAGAGGUUCCUCGAGAAAUUCAAAGGAGAAUUGCCACAUAAUUAAGCCAUUCCAUUUCUGGGCAUAUAGCCAAAAAAAUCUCCGAGAUAUUUGUGUACCCA